This 385-nucleotide ribosomal RNA is filed under the name uncultured Thermoproteales archaeon. Its description in RNAcentral is "bacterial SSU rRNA". It matches the Rfam family "Archaeal small subunit ribosomal RNA", at positions 1016 to 1412 of the family's 1478-position model. The record is from RNAcentral. Lineage: Archaea; Thermoproteati; Thermoproteota; Thermoprotei; Thermoproteales.
GCGAGAACACACACUAUGCAGUGAAUUGCUAGAACUGUCUCAGAGUAUGGGCAGAGGCUAGUUAGAGAGAGCUGGCCGUAUGAUAAAACGGAGGAGGGAAGGGGCCAUCUGUGAGCAGGUCAGUAUGCCCAGAAACUCCUGGGCCACACGCGGGCUGCAAUGGUAGGGACAAUAGGUUCCGACCUCGAAAGAGGAAGGCAAUCCCCAAACCCUACCCCAGUUGUGAUCGAGGAUUGAAACCCGUCCUCGUGAAUAUGGAAUCCCUGGUAAACCGCGUGUCAUCACCGCGCGGUGAAUACGUACCCUGCUCCUUGCACACACCGCCCGUCGCUUCACCCGAGUUGGGUCAGGACGAGGUCAUCUCAUGUUGUGGUAUCGAUCUGUG